GGUACAGGAAGAAGCUUGCUUCUUUGCUGACGAGUGGCGGACGGGUGAGUAAUGUCUGGGAAACUGCCUGAUGGAGGGGGAUAACUACUGGAAACGGUAGCUAAUACCGCAUAACGUCGCAAGACCAAAGAGGGGGACCUUCGGGCCUCUUGCCAUCGGAUGUGCCCAGAUGGGAUUAGCUAGUAGGUGGGGUAACGGCUCACCUAGGCGACGAUCCCUAGCUGGUCUGAGAGGAUGACCAGCCACACUGGAACUGAGACACGGUCCAGACUCCUACGGGAGGCAGCAGUGGGGAAUAUUGCACAAUGGGCGCAAGCCUGAUGCAGCCAUGCCGCGUGUAUGAAGAAGGCCUUCGGGUUGUAAAGUACUUUCAGCGGGGAGGAAGGGAGUAAAGUUAAUACCUUUGCUCAUUGACGUUACCCGCAGAAGAAGCACCGGCUAACUCCGUGCCAGCAGCCGCGGUAAUACGGAGGGUGCAAGCGUUAAUCGGAAUUACUGGGCGUAAAGCGCACGCAGGCGGUUUGUUAAGUCAGAUGUGAAAUCCCCGGGCUCAACCUGGGAACUGCAUCUGAUACUGGCAAGCUUGAGUCUCGUAGAGGGGGGUAGAAUUCCAGGUGUAGCGGUGAAAUGCGUAGAGAUCUGGAGGAAUACCGGUGGCGAAGGCGGCCCCCUGGACGAAGACUGACGCUC
Molecule: ribosomal RNA, 690 nt
Filed under: uncultured bacterium
Lineage: Bacteria
Description: bacterial SSU rRNA
Rfam family: Bacterial small subunit ribosomal RNA
Source: RNAcentral